AUACGGAGGAUCCGAGCGUUAUCCGGAUUUAUUGGGUUUAAAGGGAGCGUAGGCGGGAAGUCAAGUCAGCUGUGAAAUGUAGUCGCUCAACGUCUGCACUGCAGUUGAAACUGGUUUUCUUGAGUGCGUAAGGGGCAGGCGGAAUUCGUCGUGUAGCGGUGAAAUGCUUAGAUAUGACGAAGAACUCCGAUCGCGAAGGCAGCCUGCCGGGCCGCAACUGACGCUGAAGCUCGAAGGUGCGGGUAUCGAACAGGAUUAGAUACCCUGGUAGUCCGCACAGUAAACGAUGGAUACUCGCUGUCGGCGAUAAACGGUCGGUGGCCAAGCGAAAGCGUUAAGUAUCCCACCUGGGGAGUACGCCGGCAACGGUGAAACUCAAAUGAAUCGACGGGG
RNAcentral lists this ribosomal RNA (393 nucleotides) under uncultured bacterium. RNAcentral's name for it is "partial 16S ribosomal RNA". It matches the Rfam family "Bacterial small subunit ribosomal RNA", at positions 523 to 918 of the family's 1533-position model. The record is from RNAcentral.